GAUGAACGCUGGCGGCGUGCCUAAUACAUGCAAGUCGAGCGAACAGACGAGGAGCUUGCUCCUCUGACGUUAGCGGCGGACGGGUGAGUAACACGUGGAUAACCUACCUAUAAGACUGGGAUAACUUCGGGAAACCGGAGCUAAUACCGGAUAAUAUAUUGAACCGCAUGGUUCAAUAGUGAAAGACGGUUUUGCUGUCACUUAUAGAUGGAUCCGCGCCGCAUUAGCUAGUUGGUAAGGUAACGGCUUACCAAGGCAACGAUGCGUAGCCGACCUGAGAGGGUGAUCGGCCACACUGGAACUGAGACACGGUCCAGACUCCUACGGGAGGCAGCAGUAGGGAAUCUUCCGCAAGGGGCGAAAGCCUGACGGAGCAACGCCGCGUGAGUGAUGAAGGUCUUCGGAUCGUAAGACUCUGUUAUUAGGGAAGAACAAAUGUGUAAGUAACUAUGCACGUCUUGACGGUACCUAAUCAGAAAGCCACGGCUAACUACGUG
Molecule: ribosomal RNA, 497 nt
Filed under: uncultured bacterium
Lineage: Bacteria
Description: partial 16S ribosomal RNA
Rfam family: Bacterial small subunit ribosomal RNA
Source: RNAcentral